This 497-nucleotide ribosomal RNA is filed under the name uncultured bacterium. RNAcentral's name for it is "partial 16S ribosomal RNA". It matches the Rfam family "Bacterial small subunit ribosomal RNA", at positions 28 to 507 of the family's 1533-position model. The record is from RNAcentral.
GAUGAACGCUGGCGGCGUGCCUAAUACAUGCAAGUCGAGCGAACAGGUGAGGAGCUUGCUCCUCUGACGUUAGCGGCGGACGGGUGAGUAACACGUGGAUAACCUACCUAUAAGACUGGGAUAACUUCGGGAAACCGGAGCUAAUACCGGAUAAUAUAUUGAACCGCGUGGGUCAAUAGUGAAAGACGGUUUUGCUGUAUCUUAUAGAUGGAUCCGCGCCGCAUGAGCUAGUUGGUAAGGUAACGGCUUACCAAGGCAACGAUGCGUAGCCGACCUGAGAGGGUGAUCGGCCACACUGGAACUGAGACACGGUCCAGACUCCUACGGGAGGCAGCAGUAGGGAAUCUUCCGCAAUGGGCGAGAGCCUGACAGAGCAACCCCGCGUGAGUGAUGAAGACCUUCCGAUCGUAAAGCUCUGUUACUAGUGAAGAACAAAUGUGUAAGUAACUAUGCACGUCUUGACGGUACCUAAUCAAAAAGCCACGGCUAACUACGUG